UGGGCAACCUGCCCCUCUCUCUGGGAUAACCCCGGGAAACCGGAGCUAAUACCGGAUACUCCGGCUGGAUCGCAUGGUCUAGCCGGGAAAGGUCCGCCGGAGAGGGAUGGGCCCGCGGCCUAUCAGCUUGUUGGUGGGUCAUGGCUCACCAAGGCGACGACGGGUAGCUGGUCUGAGAGGACGACCAGCCACACUGGAACUGAGAUACGGUCCAGACCUCCUACGGGAGCA
RNAcentral lists this ribosomal RNA (231 nucleotides) under uncultured bacterium. RNAcentral's name for it is "partial 16S ribosomal RNA". It matches the Rfam family "Bacterial small subunit ribosomal RNA", at positions 118 to 347 of the family's 1533-position model. The record is from RNAcentral.